This 357-nucleotide ribosomal RNA is filed under the name uncultured Erythrobacteraceae bacterium. Its description in RNAcentral is "bacterial SSU rRNA". It matches the Rfam family "Bacterial small subunit ribosomal RNA", at positions 29 to 412 of the family's 1533-position model. Lineage: Bacteria; Pseudomonadati; Pseudomonadota; Alphaproteobacteria; Sphingomonadales; Erythrobacteraceae. The record is from RNAcentral.
AACGAACGCUGGCGGCAUGCCUAACACAUGCAAGUCGAACGAGACCUUCGGGUCUAGUGGCGCACGGGUGCGUAACGCAUGGGAACCUGCCUUUAGGUUUCGGAAUAACAGUGAGAAAUUACUGCUAAUACCGAAUAAUGUCUUCGGACCAAAGAUUUAUCGCCUUUAGAUGGGCCCGCGUUGGAUUAGCUAGUUGGUGGGGUAAAGGCCUACCAAGGCGACGAUCCAUAGCUGGUCUGAGAGGAUGAUCAGCCACACUGGGACUGAGACACGGCCCAGACUCCUACGGGAGGCAGCAGUGGGGAAUAUUGGACAAUGGGCGAAAGCCUGAUCCAGCAAUGCCGCGUGAGUGAUGAA